Molecule: ribosomal RNA, 301 nt
Filed under: uncultured bacterium
Lineage: Bacteria
Description: partial 16S ribosomal RNA
Rfam family: Bacterial small subunit ribosomal RNA
Source: RNAcentral
CAGCAGCCGCGGGAAUACGAAGGGGGCUAGCGUUGCUCGGAAUUACUGGGCGUAAAGGGAGCGUAGGCGGAUCGUUUAGUCAGGGGUGAAAUCCCGGGGCUCAACCUCGGAACUGCCUUUGAUACUGGCGAUCUUGAGUAUGGGAGAGGUGUGUGGAACUCCGAGUGUAGAGGUGAAAUUCGUAGAUAUUCGGAAGAACACCAGUGGCGAAGGCGACACACUGGCCCAUUACUGACGCUGAGGCUCGAAAGCGUGGGGAGCAAACAGGAUUAGAUACCCCCGUAGUCCCUGUCUCUUAUAC